AUGCACCUCCAACCACUAGAUUUCUGUGCCAAAAGUUUGAUUGAUGUAAUUCUCAAUGCAUCUAAGGUUUAUGUGAUUGGCGGGGAUGGAACAAUGAGAGGAGCAGUGGCCAUAUUCGAAGAGUUUAAACGGUGUGGUUUGAGGAUAUCCAUUACAGGGAUCCCAAAAAACUUGGACAACGACAUCGACAUUAUAGACAAGGCGUUUGGGUUUCAAGCCGCAGUGGAGAGUGCUCAGUAG
This 240-nucleotide ribosomal RNA is filed under the name Triticum aestivum (bread wheat). RNAcentral describes it as "partial small subunit ribosomal RNA". The record is from RNAcentral. Lineage: Eukaryota; Viridiplantae; Streptophyta; Magnoliopsida; Poales; Poaceae.